Molecule: non-coding RNA, 30 nt
Filed under: Homo sapiens (human)
Lineage: Eukaryota; Metazoa; Chordata; Mammalia; Primates; Hominidae
Source: RNAcentral
UGGGAACGAGAAUACACUCGUGGAGGCGUC